CAUUGUCCUCACGUGACCCCUUCCUCCUUUGUUUAGCACAUUGCGCGGGUUUCUCUUCCUUUUCUUUUUUCUAACCCUAAGUCAGAACCGCCUCUCAUCUCCUCAUUCUUUUAUUUGUUCUAACCCUAAGUCAGAGCUGCCUCUCAUCUCCCGCCGCUCUUCCUCAAACUUCCUCUUCCUUGCCUCCCCUUUCCUCUCCCUAUCCCUCUACUGCUCCCAUUCCUCCUCCUCUUACUAUAUCAGAAGAUUUUAAAAACCUUUCUAUCUGUCUCAUCUUUUUCCCCUUCUUUUCAGUCUUCUCCUUUUAGUAAUGUAAAACCUAUAAAGCAAACAAUUUUCAGCUAUUUCCUUUGGAAAUAAUCAUAUCUCAAAUUUUGCAGGAAUCCUUCAAAGUUAUGAGAGCAGUUGAAACUACUGAAAGCUGCUAUUAGGCUACAAGUUAAUUUCUUUUCUCUUUUUGUUUUCCUAAUUUUGUGGCCAUUUGGUUUGUUAAUAGCCAUCUGUGUAUCGUUUAAUUCUUUAUUUUGUUUCUUUUUCCCCUUACCUAAGGAUUAUAAUUUUUUUGUAUUUCUUUCCUUUUACUCCAUCUUUUAAUUUCUCGUGUCUGAUAGGAUUUUCGUCAUGGUCCUCGUCUUCUUUACAGCUCCAGUAUUUUUAUGUCUUCGUUAAUAGGUGUAAAUAGUAAGUUCUUGUUUACCUUUUUCCACUGUUUGUUCUUUUUUAAUUACGAAAGUCUAAGUUAUAGUUUUGUUUGUUUAUUGAUUAAUAUCCUAGAUAAAGAAGGGUCCGGUCAAAAUAUUGACAUUAGUCUAUGCAAAAGCAAUUGCAUGUGUUCUACUUUUAAUAACACAUGCUCAUUAAAUAUUCACUGAUUGGAAUUUAGUUGCAACUUUUCUCGUGUAAAUUUUUAUUUUCGGAUGAGAUUUCUUUAUGUGACUAAAAUGAAUAAACUACAAACUUAAAGUAGUCACAAUACAAAAUUUUCUUGUGUAAAGUUUAGAUUAACUUGUUUCUUUUCCUUGUCCUUUUUUUUUUUAUUUUAGUUGGAAUUGCUAGAUCCAUAGGAUUGUUUGUUGUUAGGGAAAUGAUGUUUUAAUUGUUCAAAUGAAUUUCUAAAGCAGAUAAGAGCUGGGCCUUGAUCAUCGAUAGCUGACAAUUUCUAUUACUACUACUAGUGACUUGUAACAGACUCAUGGUUUCUUUAUGUAACGCGGUCAAUUAUCUACUGGUAAGAUGAUAUUGCAAGGGAAAUUGUUAUAGCAGAAAAGGCUUAUGCAAGUCUUUUAGAAACAUUUUGAUAAUGUUAUGGAGGGAUUACAGUCCAAUUCUGUAUCUGCAACGUGUUUUAAAGAAUUGCGAGGUCAACAAUAAAAUAUCUGCUUGUGGUAUUAUGAAAUUCAAUCUUCUUACCUUUUUGUGCUUAAUGUAUUACCUAUUAAAGGUGUAAAUAAGUUGUGUUUUUCCAAAAAUGACAUAAUUCUUUUGCAAUUACAGAUUUGUUAACAUUGAUAGUGUGGAUUGGUAGCGAAACAUCAGGGACAGAAUAAUUCUUAAUCUUAUCCUGUUAAUGGAAACUCCUUUGUCUUCAACAUCUUAGGUUAUAAAAACUAUUCUGGAAUAAAAACUAUUGGUAUUGUCAUAUUUGCACAUGAAUUUGAUCACUGCAAAAACAAAUUGUAAUAUUAGUUUAUGUAGAAGAUUUAGUUUGUUUGUUGCUUCUUAAUAGGCACCCUAGAGUUCUUAUGCUCAUGAUAUUAUAUCUCUUACUGUAAAUACAAGAAAUUUGUCUCUAGAGGAACUGAUCAAUAACUUUGUUGAAGAUAAGAACUAUAUCAGAGCAGACUGAUAGAGAAGAUUAGUUCUGCAUGCAACAGGAUUAUUUAUGAGAACCGCCCAGGCAAAUCUUUGAUCCGUUCUCUUUGCUAGGAGCAAAUGGAGGCAGCACUUUUCAUGGAUGAAAAGGAGAGCUCUUUGGUGAUGUGGUAGACUAAAUGGUGCAAGAAUUAGUAUUGAGGAAAGCUAAAUGGUUAUCUGCAACAGGGUCACCUUAGUCAAGCAUAUGUCCAUUACACAGAAGGCCAAUAUCUACUGCCUAAUGACAAUCAUCAAAUUUGCAAAUCAUUUUGUACUUUAAAUUAUUAUAGUCUUUAAAAUAAUAUAUGUGUUGCAUACUCCAUUUUCCACUUUCAACAAUUAAGUUAAAUAAACUUAUAAUUCAACUUUCUAUUA
RNAcentral lists this long non-coding RNA (2229 nucleotides) under Coffea arabica (coffee). RNAcentral's name for it is "long non-coding RNA (CARA_LNC007823)". Lineage: Eukaryota; Viridiplantae; Streptophyta; Magnoliopsida; Gentianales; Rubiaceae. The record is from RNAcentral.